This 72-nucleotide transfer RNA is filed under the name Ictidomys tridecemlineatus (thirteen-lined ground squirrel). RNAcentral describes it as "Spermophilus tridecemlineatus (thirteen-lined ground squirrel) tRNA". It matches the Rfam family "tRNA". Rfam says of the family: Transfer RNA (tRNA) molecules are approximately 80 nucleotides in length. Their secondary structure includes four short double-helical elements and three loops (D, anti-codon, and T loops). The record is from Rfam by way of RNAcentral. Lineage: Eukaryota; Metazoa; Chordata; Mammalia; Rodentia; Sciuridae.
UAAUCUGCAGUUCAGUGGUAGGGCACUUGCCUAGCAUGCCAGAGGUCCUGGGUUCCAUUCCCAGCACGUCAA